This 510-nucleotide ribosomal RNA is filed under the name uncultured bacterium. RNAcentral's name for it is "partial 16S ribosomal RNA". It matches the Rfam family "Bacterial small subunit ribosomal RNA", at positions 28 to 507 of the family's 1533-position model. The record is from RNAcentral.
GACGAACGCUGGCGGCGUGCUUAACACAUGCAAGUCGAACGAAGAGCGAUGGAAGCUUGCUUCUAUCAAUCUUAGUGGCGAACGAGUGAGUAACGCGUAAUCAACCUGCCCUUCAGAGGGGGACAACAGUUGGAAACGACUGCUAAUACCGCAUACGAUCUAAUCUCGGCAUCGAGGAUAGAUGAAAGGUGGCCUCUACAUGUAAGCUAUCACUGAAGGAGGGGAUUGCGUCUGAUUAGCUAGUUGGAGGGGUAACGGCCCACCAAGGCGAUGAUCAGUAGCCGGUCUGAGAGGAUGAACGGCCACAUUGGGACUGAGACACGGCCCAGACUCCUACGGGAGGCAGCAGUGGGGAAUCUUCCGCAAUGGACGAAAGUCUGACGGAGCAACGCCGCGUGAGUGAUGACGGCCUUCGGGUUGUAAAGCUCUGUUAAUCGGGACGAAAGGCCUUCUUGCGAAUAGUGAGAAGGAUUGACGGUACCGGAAUAGAAAGCCACGGCUAACUACGUG